UUUUUUCUUUCCUAGUUAGAGGCAUGGAGCUUUACAUAUGACAAGUGUUCUCUCAUUUGUUACCCUGCCCACUAAGUUCAAUAAGUCUCUACAUGAUUGGAUUCUCUUUACAAAGCAACUUAAACGAAUUGCAGUUAUGAUAUCAAGGAAAGAUUCCAGUGCUGAAGAACAGCCUGUUUUGGAAUUUACUCCCCCAAAUGCAGGCACAAGGCGAAUUUCAUACUGGGAUGGCUUAACUAACCUGUCUUGAUUUUAGAGUCACUAUAUCUGUCUACAUUUAAAAUAGAUAAUUAUCUUUUAACUAGGCCAAAGCAUUCAGGUUACAAAAAGUCACAGUGAAAAGUUAAGUUCUUGUCUCUGCAGGAAGCAGGCAAGAGCCCCACCCUCCUGGGCGCAGCCGCAGCUGCCCAAACUGCAGCUGCAGACCCAGGCAUCUCUGCACUCUCUGGGGCCAGGAAGGGCCCCCCUGCCCCUGCAGACUCAGAGGUGUCUGUUCCCACUUCCUGGACUCUCUCUGCUCCUGGCACCCACUCCGAUCUUGGAGCAAGGUUGGGGUCAAGCCUGGGUGCUGUCACAGCCCAGCCAGGUUGUGACACAGCAGCCCCCUGCUGCCUUGGCCCCCUCUGGACUUUGGGCACUGAUCAGUACGAGAGGGAGGCUGAGGUGGGGGCUGAGGGCAGCUCAUUGCUGGUCUGCAGGCGCCCUUCCGCACAAACAGCCUGGCAUGCCAUGAGCUGCAGCAAGAGGCAGAGAGGCUCCUGGGCGGAAGAGGGCAGGUCUCCAGUGAAGCUCCACCUUCAAGCUGGGGAGAGCCUGAAGCCUGAUGGCCAGGCUGUUGGUCCCAUGGACCAGAGUGGAAACUUGUGGUGCUUUUCCUGGGCCUGCCCAUGGCUGCCCAUGGACCAAUCAGCAUGCACGUCCUCUGCUCUGAAGCCCAUAAAAACCCCAGACUCAGGCAGACUUGGGGAGAUGACAGGACUACCAGUGGUGGAGAGGAGCUACCGACCCCAGGGACUCCUGUUGGCUGAGAGCUGAAGAUACAAUGGGACGACUAGCUGCAGAGAGGAGCUACCCACUCCAGGUUCUCCUCUCUGCUGUGAGCUGAAUGCUCAUCAGGACAUCUUGCCUGUGGAGAGGAGCUACCCAAUGCCGGUCUCCUCUGAGCUAUACUGUCACUCAAUAAAGCUCCUUUUUGCCUUGCUCACCCUCC
Homo sapiens (human) is the source of this 1210-nucleotide long non-coding RNA. NCBI's taxonomy places the organism in Eukaryota, Metazoa, Chordata, Mammalia, Primates, Hominidae. The record is from Ensembl.